UCAGAACGAACGCUGGCGGCAGGCUUAACACAUGCAAGUCGAGCGCCCCGCAAGGGGAGCGGCAGACGGGUGAGUAACGCGUGGGAACGUACCCUUUGCUACGGAAUAGCUCCGGGAAACUGGAAUUAAUACCGUAUGUGCCCUUCGGGGGAAAGAUUUAUCGGCAAAGGAUCGGCCCGCGUUGGAUUAGCUAGUUGGUGGGGUAAAGGCCUACCAAGGCGACGAUCCAUAGCUGGUCUGAGAGGAUGAUCAGCCACAUUGGGACUGAGACACGGCCCAAACUCCUACGGGAGGCAGCAGUGGGGAAUAUUGGACAAUGGGCGCAAGCCUGAUCCAGCCAUGCCGCGUGAGUGAUGAAGGCCCUAGGGUUGUAAAGCUCUUUCACCGGAGAAGAUAAUGACGGUUCCGAGAAGA
RNAcentral lists this ribosomal RNA (414 nucleotides) under soil bacterium 5V-10. RNAcentral describes it as "bacterial SSU rRNA". It matches the Rfam family "Bacterial small subunit ribosomal RNA", at positions 24 to 488 of the family's 1533-position model. The record is from RNAcentral.